UGUAGUAGUUGCCAAUCUCUAAGGCUAUACGUUUAUUAGGCUUUCGCUAAUUGAAUUCAUUGGAAGUUGAAAACACGUCCAAAAUGUUUAGUUUUACGACACCAAUUAUUCCUAAAACAAGUAAUUGUUUCACUGUCUAAUUUUAUAUAUUAAUAAUAAUGUUUCAACAAACUAUAUUGACGUUGAUGUGUCAAAAACUCAUGGCAAAGCAUGCUGUGCGACGAUUCAGUGUCGUGUUGCGAUCCAAUCCAAUCCGAGGUAAAGCCAUCGUCUCAAUGGCGGCGAAGUGCCCAUGCGGCCGGUCAACUGUCGGUUCGUUUGCCAUCUUCACUGCCUGCCGAAGUCGCCUGCUCAGCUAUUGAGGUGUCAUCAAGCCCUAAAGUGAGUGAAAAGCCGUACACGCGAAAGAAAGCGCCACUGCACACAAAUGCUCUAUUUGAGGACUUCGGAUCUCGCACCGGCAGCCAGCAGUCAACGGCCCGAGUAGCAAGUCAACACAUCUUCGUAAAGAAACAACUGUUUAUUUCCUAGUAGUGCAAACGUGGUGUUCGCCGGUCGGUACCGCGCAACUGAAUGUGCAGGCCCCAGAAAGUGCGCGACGGCGCGCGUCGGCCAGCGGGAAGCCGCUCCCUGCUUGGGAGCAAUGUGACACGCGUGUGCCGGCCAGGGUCCCGCGCGACGAGCAGGAGGUAGGCGCACACUAUGUACUGUGCUGCCGUUUUGUGGUUUCUGCCACACGUAUAUUCUUGCUUGUAACUGUUCUUUUCUUUAUUCUAAAGCUUGUGCCUGUAAUGAAUCGUCGUAGGGUUUGACAGCACAAAUAAGUAAAUGUGAUAAUCGAACGACACCUCAUUUAAUGGUGUUGUCUUUCCCAUAUUUGUUACUCUGCUUAACAUGCUGAAAGGAGUUUUUAUUGGUUUUAUAUGUAUUCGCGCUGUCCUAGCUUCAGUCAUGAUAUCUGGAUCUGUCAAUUUUCUUUUUUAUCGGCGAGUAUAUUUGUUGUUAUGAACAUUAUUCAUGUGUGCAUUUUGGACUUAUGUUUAAGCUAGCAAUAAAAUAUUUAUUGUGUUUUGAA
Long non-coding RNA from Dermacentor silvarum, 1075 nucleotides. RefSeq lists it as uncharacterized. NCBI's taxonomy places the organism in Eukaryota, Metazoa, Arthropoda, Arachnida, Ixodida, Ixodidae. The transcript is spliced from 2 exons. The record is from RefSeq and is a predicted model, not a curated record.